Molecule: ribosomal RNA, 370 nt
Filed under: uncultured cyanobacterium
Lineage: Bacteria; Bacillati; Cyanobacteriota
Description: bacterial SSU rRNA
Rfam family: Bacterial small subunit ribosomal RNA
Source: RNAcentral
CGAAAGCCUGACGGAGCAAGACCGCGUGGGGGAGGAAGGCUCUUGGGUUGUAAACCCCUUUUGUCAGGGAAGAAAAAAUGACGGUACCUGACGAAUCAGCCUCGGCUAACUCCGUGCCAGCAGCCGCGGUAAUACGGAGGAGGCAAGCGUUAUCCGGAAUCAUUGGGCGUAAAGCGUCCGUAGGUGGCCCUUCAAGUCUGCAGUCAAAGGUCACAGCUCAACUGUGAAAAGGCAGUGGAAACUGAAGAGCUAGAGAGCGGUAGGGGUAGAGGGAAUUCCCAGUGUAGCGGUGAAAUGCGUAGAGAUUGGGAAGAACACCAGUGGCGAAAGCGCUCUACUGGGCCGCAACUGACACUGAUGGACGAAAGCU